CGCCUAGCACACUCCAAUCCUCUUGCCAUCAACAAGCCGCCUCCAAUACUGAAUGAUCUCUUCCUGUAUCUCCCUCUCAGUCUUUUUAUCUACUUUCUUCCCUUCAGCAUUCUCAAGUUCUCCACUAGCUGUAGCAGAUUUGGUGGAAGUACGGAUAGGAAGUGAGUCCAUUUCCUGCAAAACUUGCUCAAUGUUCGAGCUAAGUCUUUUGGCUAGACUCCGGCUGAAAUCCUCCCUGACCACCACCCGAAGAACAGCAAUGUGCUUGGCAUCUGCUGGCAUCGUGUAUGCUGGAAUAAUCCAGCCAAACCU
RNAcentral lists this unclassified non-coding RNA (312 nucleotides) under Hevea brasiliensis (rubber tree). Lineage: Eukaryota; Viridiplantae; Streptophyta; Magnoliopsida; Malpighiales; Euphorbiaceae. The record is from RNAcentral.